UGGGGAAUAUUGCACAAUGGGCGCAAGCCUGAUGCAGCCAUGCCGCGUGUAUGAAGAAGGCCUUCGGGUUGUAAAGUACUUUCAGCGAGGAGGAAGGUGUUGUGGUUAAUAACCGCAGCAAUUGACGUUACUCGCAGAAGAAGCACCGGCUAACUCCUGCCAGCAGCCGCGGUAAUACGGGGGUGCAAGCGUUAAUCGGAAUUACUGGGCGUAAAGCGCACGCAGGCGGUCUGUCAAGUCGGAUGUGAAAUCCCCGGGCUCAACCUGGGUACUGGCAUCCGAAACUGGCAGGCUAGAGUCUUGUAGAGGGGGUAGAAUUCCAGGUGUAGCGGUGAAAUUGCGUAGAGAUCUGGAGGAAUACCGGUGGCGAAGGCGGCCCCCUGGACAAAGACUGACGCUCAGGUGCGAAAGCGUGGGAGCAAACA
Molecule: ribosomal RNA, 425 nt
Filed under: uncultured Enterobacteriaceae bacterium
Lineage: Bacteria; Pseudomonadati; Pseudomonadota; Gammaproteobacteria; Enterobacterales; Enterobacteriaceae
Description: bacterial SSU rRNA
Rfam family: Bacterial small subunit ribosomal RNA
Source: RNAcentral